RNAcentral lists this long non-coding RNA (215 nucleotides) under Pan troglodytes (chimpanzee). RNAcentral's name for it is "long non-coding RNA NONPTRT012912". The record is from RNAcentral. Lineage: Eukaryota; Metazoa; Chordata; Mammalia; Primates; Hominidae.
ACCAUACAAUAGAGCACCUCCAAACCAUACAAGAGCACCUCCAAACCAUACAAGACCACCUCCAAACCAUACAAGAGCACCUCCAAACCAUACAAUAGAGCACCUCCAAACCAUACAAGAGCACCUCCAAACCAUACAAGAGCACCUCCAAACCAUACAACAGAGCACCUCCAAACCAUACAACAGAGCACCUCCAAACCAUACAACAGAGCACC